This 386-nucleotide ribosomal RNA is filed under the name uncultured bacterium. Its description in RNAcentral is "bacterial SSU rRNA". It matches the Rfam family "Archaeal small subunit ribosomal RNA", at positions 340 to 726 of the family's 1478-position model. The record is from RNAcentral.
CGCGAAAACUUUACAAUGCGGGAAACCGUGAUAAGGGAAUCUCGAGUGCCAGCAUAUAAUGUUGGCUGUCCAGAUGCCUAAAAAGCAUCUGUUAGCAAGGGCCGGGCAAGACCGGUGCCAGCCGCCGCGGUAACACCGGCGGCCCGAGUGGUAACCGCUUUUAUUGGGUCUAAAGGGUCUGUAGCCGGCCAAAUAAGUCCCUUGGGAAAUCUGGCAGCUCAACUGUCAGGCUGCUAGGGGAUACUGCUAGGCUUGGGACCGGGAGAGGUGAGAGGUACCUUGGGGGUAGGGGUGAAAUCUUGUGAUCCUCGGGGGACCACCAGUGGCGAAGGCGUCUCACCAGAACGGGUCCGACGGUAAGGGACGAAAGCUAGGGGCACGAACCG